GAAAGGUUUGGUCCUAGCCUUUGCAUUAGCUGUCAGUACACUUACACAUGCAAAUAUCCGUACCCCAGUGAAUUUUGCCCUAAAAUUCCGUAAACUUGGAAGUAAAGGAGCAGGUAUAAAGUACACUAAAACAAAACUAGUAGCUAAAAACACCAAGUCUAACCACGCCCCCACGGGAUACAGCAGUGAUAAAAAUUAAGCAAUAAACGAAAGUUUGACUAAAUGACACUGAUAGAGAGUUGGUAAAUUUCGUGCCAGCCACCGCGGUCAUACGAUUAACCCUAGUUAAUGCAAAACGGCGUAAAGAGUGCUAAAAACAAAACACAAAGUAGAACUAAAGCCUAAUUAAGCUGUAAAAAGCACUAAUUAAAGCGAAAAUACACAACGAAGGUAAUUCUAUAAAAAUGCAGCACUAAAGCUAUAGAACAAACUGGGAUUAGAUACCCCACUAUGUAUAGCCAUAAACAUAAAUAAAUAAUUAACAAAUUUAUUCGCCUGAGGACUACAAGCAACCGCUAGAAACUCAAAGGACUUGGCGGUGCUUUAUAUCCACCUAGAGGAGCCUGUUCCAAAAUCGAUAAACCCCGAUAUACCUUACCACUUCUUGCUAAUUCAGCCUAUAUACCGCCAUCUUCAGCUAACCCUAAAAAGGAGCACUAGUAAGCAAAAACAUUAUAGACUAAUAAAAAAGUUAGGUCAAGGUGUAGCCAAUGAAGUGGAGUGCAAUGGGCUACAUUUUCUGACACCAGAACAUUACGAAUUUCUCUCUGAAACAUAGAGAACGAAGGAGGAUUUAGUAGUAAGUUAAAAAUAGAGUGUUUAACUGAAUAGAGCAAUGAAGCACGCACACACCGCCCGUCACCCUCCUCAAUAUCCCAUAACAACACAAAUAUAAUUAAUAGUAAACCAACAUGAGACUAGAGGAGACAAGUCGUAACAAGGUAAGUGUACUGGAAAGUGCACUUGGAUUAAC
Molecule: non-coding RNA, 973 nt
Filed under: Heterogeomys heterodus (variable pocket gopher)
Lineage: Eukaryota; Metazoa; Chordata; Mammalia; Rodentia; Geomyidae
Description: 12S ribosomal RNA
Rfam family: Bacterial small subunit ribosomal RNA
Source: RNAcentral